UUUCCCCAUUUCCCCCUCAUUUCACCUCACAUUUCCCUCAUAUUUCCCUCAUUUCACCUCAUAUUUCCCCAUUUUCCCCUCAUUUUCCCCCCAUUUUCCCCUCAUUUCAACUCACAUUUCCCACAUUCCCCCUCACAUUCCCCCAUUUUUCUCACUUUCCCCAUUUUCCCUUCAUUUUUCCCCAUUUUCACCUCAUAUUUCCCCAUUUUCCCUCAUUUUCCCCUCAUUUCCCCUCACAUUUCCCUCACAUUUCUCUCAUUUCACCUCAUAUUUCUCCAUUUUUCCCUCACUUUCCCGCUCCUCCCCUCAGCCAAGGCCUCCCGCCUCUCGCUGCCGCUGCCGCCUCUGGCCCUGCGGCCUCUCCCGCUGCGCUGGGGCGCGCCCGAAACCUCUCGGGGGGAUCCGGACGAGGACGACGAGGACGAGGAGGACGAGGAAGAAGCGGCGGGACCCGAGGAGGCCUCGGCGGAGCCCGUCCCGCUCGUGGUUUCGCGCUGGGACGGCCGCGGCCUCCGCGGCCUCCUGAAACCUCCGCGCCGCCCGCCGGAAGUUGGACUGAGCUCCAACCGGAAGCGAAAAGCGGUAUCCUUCUUCGAUGACGUCACAGUCCACCUAUUCGAUCAGGAGACGCCGACCAACGAGUUGAGCGGGCAGAGCGGCCCCGAGGAGCCCGCGGCGAUGGCGCCCCCCGAUGGCUUGGCCGCCGUCGAGAACUGACCCCGGGGGAGGGGGAGGGGCGGGGCCGAAGCCCCUCCCCCUUUCCCUUGGCCCCGCCCUCUUUCCCUGGCCCCGCCCCCACUUUGGGGGUGGGGGAGGGGCGGAAAUUUGGGGGGGGGAGGGGCAAUAAAGAAUUCCAGGCUUCCUGGAUUUUACUGGGA
Molecule: long non-coding RNA, 878 nt
Filed under: Cyanistes caeruleus (blue tit)
Lineage: Eukaryota; Metazoa; Chordata; Aves; Passeriformes; Paridae
Description: lncRNA (ENSCCEG00000005223.1)
Source: RNAcentral